RNAcentral lists this ribosomal RNA (429 nucleotides) under Chloroflexota bacterium. RNAcentral describes it as "Chloroflexi bacterium partial 16S ribosomal RNA". It matches the Rfam family "Bacterial small subunit ribosomal RNA", at positions 355 to 776 of the family's 1533-position model. Lineage: Bacteria; Bacillati; Chloroflexota. The record is from RNAcentral.
UGGGGAAUAUUGCACAAUGGGCGCAAGCCUGAUGCAGCCAUGCCGCGUGUGUGAAGAAGGCCUUCGGGUUGUAAAGCACUUUCAGCGGGGAGGAAGGCGGUGAGGUUAAUAACCUCAUCGAUUGACGUUACCCGCAGAAGAAGCACCGGCUAACUCCGUGCCAGCAGCCGCGGUAAUACGGAGGGUGCAAGCGUUAAUCGGAAUUACUGGGCGUAAAGCGCACGCAGGCGGUCUGUCAAGUCGGAUGUGAAAUCCCCGGGCUCAACCUGGGAACUGCAUUCGAAACUGGCAGGCUAGAGUCUUGUAGAGGGGGGUAGAAUUCCAGGUGUAGCGGUGAAAUGCGUAGAGAUCUGGAGGAAUACCGGUGGCGAGGGCGGCCCCCUGGACGAAGACUGACGCUCAGGUGCGAAAGCGUGGGGAGCAAACAGG